This 976-nucleotide long non-coding RNA is filed under the name Homo sapiens (human). RNAcentral's name for it is "HSALNT0100395". Lineage: Eukaryota; Metazoa; Chordata; Mammalia; Primates; Hominidae. The record is from RNAcentral.
CCGGCAGGGCACUGAAAGCCCCAGCUCACCCGUAAGUGUAGCCUGUGGCCUCGGAGAUUGUGUGCUGCUUCCUAAGAAGCCUUGUAGCCGUGGAGUCAGCAUCGUCAGCAUUUGGUGCAGGAUCAGGCAGCCUAAUUUCUAGAGAAAUCCCUCCCUCUCAUUUAAGGAGCCCAUCGCUGUAAAAUGCAAACUUCCCCAGGAGCCUGAAUGUUAGCUGGGACCUGAGAAAAAGUCCAAGAAUAUGGCCCCGACCUCUCUGGGACUGUGAAGAAGACCAUUUGUAAUACAGCUGAUCCAGGAGGCGAGGCACCUGGGUGCUCAAAUAAAACCCUUUGCUCUGUUUCGUAGGAAGCCUCCAAGACCACAUCCCCUGACAUCCUAAGUGAUGUGAGUCUGGCUGAGCAGCACCCACUGGAGGAUGAAUGCUCAUCUGGAAAUACAGGAGUUUCUGGAGCCAUGUCUGAAAAAUGCAGCAAAAAUGGAUCAGGGUUUCCACCCAUCUCAGCCCACUGAGCUCGUGGUGAGGGCAAGACAGCAGCAGAGGGAAAGAGCAUGCCAUCUGAAGUCACAGGCUCCUAGCACCAGCUCCACCACUUAACAGCUGUUUAUCCCCUGUGAGUCUCAGUUUCCUGAACUAUGAGAUGGAGACACCUGUAACACGCCUGUUUGCCUCACAAGGUUGAGAGGAUUGGUUGAAGUCAAGCCGCUGAAAGCACACUGCAAACUGUAAAGUUCUAUGUGAUUUGUUUUUACCAACCAAACCACAAUCCAUUGCCAGACAGUUCUUCAAAUAAGGGACAGACUUCUGGCUGGGCGUGGUGGCUCAUGCCUGUAAUCCCAGCACCUUGGGAGGCCGAGGUGGGUGGAUCACCUCAGGUCAGGAGUUCGAGACCAGCCUGGCCAACAUGGUGAAACCCCGUCUCUACUAAAAAUACAAAAAUUAGCCAGGCGUGGUGGCCGGCACCUGUAAUCCAGC